GGAGGGUUGGCCGAGCGGUCGAAGGCGGCGGUCUUGAAAACCGCAGACGGGGAGACCCGUCCGGGGGUUCGAAUCCCUCACCCUCCGCCA
This 90-nucleotide transfer RNA is filed under the name Deinococcales bacterium. RNAcentral describes it as "tRNA-Ser". It matches the Rfam family "tRNA". From Rfam's summary of the family: Transfer RNA (tRNA) molecules are approximately 80 nucleotides in length. Their secondary structure includes four short double-helical elements and three loops (D, anti-codon, and T loops). Further hydrogen bonds mediate the characteristic L-shaped molecular structure. tRNAs have two regions of fundamental functional importance: the anti-codon, which is responsible for specific mRNA codon recognition, and the 3' end, to which the tRNAs corresponding amino acid is attached (by aminoacyl-tRNA synthetases). tRNAs cope with the degeneracy of the genetic code in two manners: having more than one tRNA (with a specific anti-codon) for a particular amino acid; and 'wobble' base-pairing, i.e. permitting non-standard base-pairing at the 3rd anti-codon position. The record is from RNAcentral. Lineage: Bacteria; Thermotogati; Deinococcota; Deinococci; Deinococcales.